Molecule: small nucleolar RNA, 73 nt
Organism: Lupinus angustifolius (narrow-leaved blue lupine)
Lineage: Eukaryota; Viridiplantae; Streptophyta; Magnoliopsida; Fabales; Fabaceae
Source: Rfam
UAUGUGCCUGUGCUGGUGUUAAAUAUACUCCGAGAUUUAUUUCAAUGAUAUCAAUUUUCAUCUGAGGCACUCA